AACGAACGCUGGCGGCAUGCCUAACACAUGCAAGUCGAACGAGACCUUCGGGUCUAGUGGCGCACGGGUGCGUAACGCGUGGGAACCUGCCCUUAGGUUCGGAAUAACUCCCCGAAAGGGGUGCUAAUACCGGAUAAUGUCUUCGGACCAAAGAUUUAUCGCCUUUGGAUGGGCCCGCGUUGGAUUAGCUAGUUGGUAGGGUAAAAGCCUACCAAGGCGACGAUCCAUAGCUGGUCUGAGAGGAUGAUCAGCCACACUGGGACUGAGACACGGCCCAGACUCCUACGGGAGGCAGCAGUGGGGAAUAUUGGACAAUGGGCGAAAGCCGGAUCCAGCAAUGCCGCGUGAGUGAUGAAGGCCUUAGGGUUGUAAAGCUCUUUUACCCGGGAUGAUAAUGACAGUACCGGGAGAAUAAGCUCCGGCUAACUCCGUG
Molecule: ribosomal RNA, 433 nt
Filed under: uncultured bacterium
Lineage: Bacteria
Description: partial 16S ribosomal RNA
Rfam family: Bacterial small subunit ribosomal RNA
Source: RNAcentral